This 375-nucleotide ribosomal RNA is filed under the name uncultured bacterium. Its description in RNAcentral is "bacterial SSU rRNA". It matches the Rfam family "Bacterial small subunit ribosomal RNA", at positions 28 to 399 of the family's 1533-position model. The record is from RNAcentral.
GACAAACGCUGGCGGCGUGCUUAACACAUGCAAGUCGAACGGUACUCCUACGGGAGUAUAGUGGCGGACGGGUGAGUAACACGUAGCUAAUCUACCCUGAUGUGGGGAAUAACCCCUCGAAAGAGGAGCUAAGACCGCAUAAGUUCUCUCUUGUUAGAGAGAGAAGAAACUUUGGCAGUAGAAAAGCCAGAGGCGUUAGGAUGAGGCUGCGGCGGAUUAGCUAGAUGGNGGGGUAAAAGCCUACCAUGGCGACGAUCCGUAGCUGGUCUGAGAGGACGACCAGCCACACUGGGACUGAGACACGGCCCAGACUCCUAGGGAGGCAGCAGUGAGGAAUAUUCCACAAGUGGGCGCAAGCCUGAUGGAGCGACGCCG